GAAAACACUUUUAAUAGAAUGGCUGCAGAUUCACAAAAUUAUAUUUUCCGGAGGAAUCCACGAACUUCAGUAAGAAAGUUAUGCAGAUUCUUUCUAAACUUUUGGUAAUUUGGCCGAUCAAGUGUCGAAGAUAGACUGUUGGAUCUUGUGAGUGAUUGGAGUGCAUUUGUCAACCUUGAUCUGAAACCUGUGUCACACUGCUUCUCUAUCAACUCACUUCCCAACUUCUGGUAUAAACUUUGUUCACAGAGGAUUAACGGAAGAAGAGCAUCCGCAGCUGAGCCAACAAGAUCAGUGCUGUAAUCCUCAAAGAGGAGAAACUGUAGCAAUGAUCGAAGAAAUUGGCUUAGAAUCCCUUCCUGAAAGUUUCCUGUCUGAUCCUUGUAACCUGAAGCAUGGAGACCUAACCCCACUUCUCCAGCACUUUUUUGCUUGUAAUGGAAAGAAGCAAGCCCUUUAAUAGCUCUUAGACAUAAAUCAACAACCUCUGCAUCCUAUCACACAAACAACAGAACACAGUGAUCUUGGUUUCUA
This 534-nucleotide unclassified non-coding RNA is filed under the name Hevea brasiliensis (rubber tree). The record is from RNAcentral. Lineage: Eukaryota; Viridiplantae; Streptophyta; Magnoliopsida; Malpighiales; Euphorbiaceae.